GGUCCCGUAGCUCAGUCGGUAGAGCGAUACACUUUUAAUGUAGCGGUCGCGCGUUCGAAUCGCGCCGGGAUCA
This 73-nucleotide transfer RNA is filed under the name Candidatus Margulisiibacteriota bacterium. RNAcentral describes it as "tRNA-Lys". It matches the Rfam family "tRNA". From Rfam's summary of the family: Transfer RNA (tRNA) molecules are approximately 80 nucleotides in length. Their secondary structure includes four short double-helical elements and three loops (D, anti-codon, and T loops). RNAcentral also lists the same sequence under 2 other names. Lineage: Bacteria; Bacillati; Candidatus Margulisiibacteriota. The record is from RNAcentral.